GCGUGUUGAUGUCGAGACCAAGAAGGCGAGCUAAGACUUGACGGAAAUCCAGCAACUGUAAUAGAUUGAUCAAAAAGAAGAAACGAUGGCAUCUUCUUCAGCCGCAAUGGAAUCAUCUAAAUCUCCAAUCAGCUGCGCCAGAUGCCGCUUGAAGUUGUGUAGCUGCAGAGAGAACCAAAAAGAAAUUAUUGAAACCUCUACAGCUAUAAAAAUGAAAAAAAAUACACUUGCCUUCUAACCAGGCUGAGCAACAAUGACUCACCACUUUUGUGUGAAUGGACAGACUCAAGUUAGAAAUUCUCAAUUAAGGGCGUUCAAAGUAAACCGUGAUCACAUUU
This is a long non-coding RNA of Pocillopora damicornis (cauliflower coral), 338 nucleotides long. Lineage: Eukaryota; Metazoa; Cnidaria; Anthozoa; Scleractinia; Pocilloporidae. The record is from RefSeq and is a predicted model, not a curated record.